Molecule: ribosomal RNA, 495 nt
Filed under: uncultured bacterium
Lineage: Bacteria
Description: partial 16S ribosomal RNA
Rfam family: Bacterial small subunit ribosomal RNA
Source: RNAcentral
GACGAACGCUGGCGGCGUGCCUAAUACAUGCAAGUAGAACGCUGAAGGAGGAGCUUGCUCUUCUGGAUGAGUUGCGAACGGGUGAGUAACGCGUAGGUAACCUGCCUGGUAGCGGGGGAUAACUAUUGGAAACGAUAGCUAAUACCGCAUAACAGUAGAUGUUGCAUGACAUUUGCUUAAAAGGUGCAAUUGCAUCACUACCAGAUGGACCUGCGUUGUAUUAGCUAGUUGGUGGGGUAACGGCUCACCAAGGCGACGAUACAUAGCCGACCUGAGAGGGUGAUCGGCCACACUGGGACUGAGACACGGCCCAGACUCCUACGGGAGGCAGCAGUAGGGAAUCUUCGGCAAUGGACGGAAGUCUGACCGAGCAACGCCGCGUGAGUGAGGAAGGUUUUCGGAUCGUAAAGCUCUGUUGUAAGAGAAGAACGAGUGUGAGAGUGGAAAGUUCACACUGUGACGGUAUCUUACCAGAAAGGGACGGCUAACUACGUG